Long non-coding RNA from Erythranthe guttata (spotted monkey flower), 587 nucleotides. RefSeq lists it as uncharacterized. The record is from RefSeq and is a predicted model, not a curated record. Lineage: Eukaryota; Viridiplantae; Streptophyta; Magnoliopsida; Lamiales; Phrymaceae.
UGGAUGUCAUAUUAUCGUAGGAGUGAAUUCUGAAUGCAAAAUAGAGAAAAUCUUUAGGCAUAUCCUUGUGAGUGUGAGCUGACUUAUGAACUUACAAUAAAUGUAGGGGUUUUGUGAUGUUCCUCUUUGGGCUCCCAUCAGCUUCUACAUGUUAUAAUACAUUGAAGCUUCCAACAUACAAACGUGCCUGCACUUUGAGGGCAAAACUUCUAUAUGCCACUAAUGCCAGAUUCGAACCUUCUUAUUAGUUUGUGACACAACGAGAAGAAGUUGAAGGGAGCAUAAGGUCUCUGGAAUUUUGUUGUAUACGCAGAAGUUGAAGGGAGCAUAAGGUCUUUGGAAUAAAGUAAUGGCGGCUCGUGAUCAUGCAAUAGGUGCAUCUCCAGUUUUAUUUGCUCCCAGAUUGUAUAUACACGUUCCUGAAAGAAACUUUAUAAAUAAUAAAACGGACUUUUGUUGUAUAUGCAGUGCUGAAAAAAUCUGUCAAGUGAUCGAACGGACUUUUGUUGUGUAAACGGACUUUUAUCUUUUAAUUGUAAAGGGACACAUUAUUCAAUUCUUGUGGAAUAUAUUCACAUAAUUUGGUC